Molecule: ribosomal RNA, 161 nt
Filed under: uncultured bacterium
Lineage: Bacteria
Description: partial 16S ribosomal RNA
Rfam family: Bacterial small subunit ribosomal RNA
Source: RNAcentral
GGAAUCCUCCACAAUGGACGCAAGUCUGAUGGAGCAACGCCGCGUGAGUGAAGAAGGGUUUCGGCUCGUAAAACACUGUUGUAAGAGAAGAAUGACAUUGAGAGUAACUGUUCAAUGUGUGACGGUAUCUUACCAGAAAGGAACGGCUAAAUACGUGCCAG